GUCGGCGUUCCGACGACGUCACGUGGUGGGGGUACCGUACUAGCGUGCCGGAGGACCGAGAAAGGGUGUGAGAUAAAGCGAGAGGAAGGGAAGGGCAACGUUACGAUAAUCGGAGUGGUGGGGAUAGUCCGAACGAUGCCUCGAGAGGGGCCAGACGAGGCGAGGUGUUCCAGAUAGCUGAUUAUCUCUCAAAGUACCCACAAAA
This 205-nucleotide long non-coding RNA is filed under the name Polistes fuscatus (common paper wasp). RNAcentral's name for it is "uncharacterized LOC122514825". Lineage: Eukaryota; Metazoa; Arthropoda; Insecta; Hymenoptera; Vespidae. The record is from RNAcentral.